Molecule: ribosomal RNA, 1213 nt
Filed under: metagenome
Description: bacterial SSU rRNA
Rfam family: Bacterial small subunit ribosomal RNA
Source: RNAcentral
AGAGUUUGAUCGUGGCUCAGGAUGAACGCUGGCGGCGUGCCUAAUACAUGCAAGUCGAGCGGGAUCCCCUGGAUUCGUCUGGGGGUGAGAGCGGCGGACGGGUGAGUAACACGUAGGCGACCUGCCCCGAAGACAGGGAUAACCAUCGGAAACGGUGGCUAAUACUUGAUACGCUCGGUAAUUCGUUUUGCCGAGCAAAGCUCCGGCGCUUCGGGAUGGGCCUGCGGCCUAUCAGCUAGUUGGUAGGGUAACGGCCUACCAAGGCUAAGACGGGUAGGGGGCGUGAGAGCGUGAUCCCCCACAAUGGCACUGAGACACGGGCCAUACUCCUACGGGAGGCAGCAGUCAGGGAUAUUGCACAAUGGGCGAAAGCUUGAUGCAGCGACGCCGCGUGGGCGAUGAAGGCCUUCGGGUUGUAAAGCCCUUUUUCUGGGGGAAGAGACAAGGACGGUACCCCAGGAAUAAGCGCCGGCUAACUACGUGCCAGCAGCCGCGGUAAAACGUAGGGCGCAAGCGUUAUCCGGAUUCACUGGGCGUAAAGUGCGUUGAGGCGGCUCCGUAAGUUGGACGUUAAAGCCCCCGGCCUAACUGGGGGAGGUCGUUCAAUACUGCGGAGCUUGAGGGCAGCAGAGGCAGGUGGAAUUCCCGGUGUAGUAGUGAAAUGCGUAGAUAUCGGGAGGAACACCCGUGGCGAAGGCGGCCUGCUGGGCUGCUCCUGACGCUGAAGGCGAAAGCUAGGGGAGCAAACGGGAUUAGAAACCCCGGUAGUCCUAGCUGUAAACGAUGGAUGCUGGGCGUGGGGGGUAUAGACUCCCUCCGUGCCGAAGCUAACGCGUUAAGCAUCCCGCCUGGGGACUACGGCCGCAAGGCUAAAACUCAAACGAAUUGACGGGUCCCCGCACAAGCAGCGGAGCGUGUGGUUCAAUUCGAUUUACACGAAGAACCUUACCUGGGUUUGACAUGUAGGUAGUAGUGAAGCGAAAGCGGAACGACCUUUCGGGGAGCCUACACAGGUGCUGCAUGGCUGUCGUCAGCUCGUGCCGUGAGGUGUCGGGUUAAGUCCCGUAACGAGCGCAACCCUCGCCCUUAGUUACAAGUGUCUAGGGGGACUGCCGGCGACAAGCCGGAGGAAGGUGAGGAUGACGUCAAGUCAGCAUGGCCUUUAUAUCCAGGGCUACACACACGCUACAAUGGCCGGUACAAUGGGUUGCCA